GGAAACGCGGGGCUCGCAGCAUAGGUAGUACGGAGAUGUCAAGCGUAAAGCGGAAUAAGUGGGCGUGAAGCGCACGCAGGCGGUUGUCUAAAAGAUAUGGGCGAGCGUCGGGCUCAACCGGGGAAUUGCAUUGAAACCUGUUCAGCUGGAGUCGUGUAGAGGGGGGUAGAAUUCCAGGUGUAGCGGGGAAAUGCGUAGAGGUCGGGGGGAAUAGCGGUGGCGAAGGCGGCCCCCUGGACAAAGACUGACGCUCAGGUGCGAAAGCGUGGGGAGCAAACAGGAUUAGAUACCCUGGUAGUC
This 300-nucleotide ribosomal RNA is filed under the name uncultured Lactobacillus sp. Its description in RNAcentral is "bacterial SSU rRNA". It matches the Rfam family "Bacterial small subunit ribosomal RNA", at positions 496 to 795 of the family's 1533-position model. Lineage: Bacteria; Bacillati; Bacillota; Bacilli; Lactobacillales; Lactobacillaceae. The record is from RNAcentral.